UCGAAUUAAAAAGAGCUAUAAUUAUAUAUAUUUAAUAGUUGCAGAAAUUUUUAGGAUAUAAUUAUAGAUGUGAAAUGCUAGUCGUUUUUUAAAAUAUCUAGUUUCUUAAGAAAUAAAUUUAAUUUAGUUUUUUUAAUUUAUUGAUUUAAUUAUUUAGGUGUUUAAUUAAAAAAAGUAAUAUUUUAGGGGAUAAGCUCUAAAAUAAAUUAUUAAAAAGUAAAUUUUAGUAUAAAAAGUGUGUAGGAUUGGAACUGUUUUUCUUUAGUGUGUUAUAAUUAAUUUUUUUAUAAAUAAGAUUUAUAUAAGUUUUAAGUUUUUUAUUAAGAUUAUUUAUAUAAUAAUAAAAUAUAUGAAAUAAUGAUAAAAUUAGUAUAAAAGUAUUGUAAAUUAUUAAAUUAAGUUAAGGUUAAGUUAAGGAACUCGGCAAAUUUAUUUUUCGCCUGUUUAUUAAAAACAUGUCCUUUUGAUUAUAAUUUAAGGUCUAACCUGCCCAAUGAGUGUUUAAAUGGCCGCGGUAAUUUGACCGUGCAAAGGUAGCAUAAUCAUUAGUUUUUUAAUUGAAAGCUGGAAUGAACGGUUGGACGAGAAAAUAGCUGUCUCAAUUUAAUUGGAAUUAGAAUUUUAUUUAUAAGUAAAAAAGCUUAUAUAAGUUUAAAAGACGAGAAGACCCUAUAGAAUUUUAUAUUUAUAUUUAUUAAUUUUUUUUAGUAUAUACUUUUAUUAAUAAGUUAGAAUAUUUUGUUGGGGUGAUGGAAAAAUUUAAUAAACUUUUUUUAUAUAUUGACAUAAAUUAAUGAGUUAUUGAUCCGUUUUUUACGAUUAUAAGAUUAAAUUACCUUAGGGAUAACAGCGUAAUUUUUUUUUAGAGUUCUAAUCGAAAAAAGAGUUUGCGACCUCGAUGUUGGAUUAAAAUAAACUUUUGGUGUAGGGGCUAAAUAGUUGGGUCUGUUCGA
This 953-nucleotide ribosomal RNA is filed under the name Ancognatha vulgaris. RNAcentral's name for it is "partial 16S ribosomal RNA". The record is from RNAcentral. Lineage: Eukaryota; Metazoa; Arthropoda; Insecta; Coleoptera; Scarabaeidae.